GCACAGUUGGAAAUCGGGAAAUAACUACGACUCGGGUGUUAGAAGGGCAUAAAUUAAUUUUUGAGAAUAUGACUAUGUUGGUUGUGUAAUCUUUAAUGCUAAGACCUCGGGGAAGGCCGAGGAUAAAUUUGGAAUUUCGGAAAUUAGUUUCGGGAAUUACAAAACGGGAUUUUUAAGCAUUGGGCCAAGAAACUACAAAUGCAAUUGAAGCCCAACAAUGGAAGAGGGGGGAUCCGGCCAUGUUAUAGGCCCAAACCCAUUUUAAAAGGGUCAUGUGCUAUGCACAUGACCCCUAAAUAGAUAUAUAUGAAUUAUACUUAGUAUUAUCCAAGAAACAACUCACAAAAUCAAGAACACCCAAAAAAAAAGGGUUUCGGCCGAGAGCUAGAGAGAAAGAAAAGGAAAAAUCCCAAGCUUGUGUGGUGGUUCAAUAAUCUUGUUCUUUACAUAUUUGUGAAGUACUCAAGGCCCUCUUCAACGGGGUAUAAUUAGUUUGGCACGAGGACGACGUUUUCGACAAGUCGGGGUUUCAAGAAAGAUUUUUGACGAAACGGGACGAGACAUUUGGAAGAGCUUACGACGUCUGUGAGGUGCAGAUUCCGGUGAUCUUCCGCAGUAGGCUUCACCUUUUGCUUUCUCGGAGUACUCUUACUUGAUCCGGAGUCCACUCUUGGUACAGACUCCUCCACUUUGUAUAUACUUUGUAUAUUUGACGGUUUGGGUACGGCGGGGCCCUGUCUCGCCAUAUGUUAUGUUUUGAAUUCGUAGAGGCCUGUAGUCAUCUUUGUGGGGCGAGGGUCCUAUGUGUAUAUUGUAUGAUUUUGCUUUCGGGUCUUAAAGCGGUCUGUUUGAUCUGAUGGCCCCAAAUGGCCCUUAUGUAUAUAUUUGUAUUUUUACCGGCGAUGCCUAUUCCGCCGCUUUGUGUGAAUUUGAUUUGAU
Lycium barbarum (goji berry) is the source of this 939-nucleotide long non-coding RNA. RefSeq lists it as uncharacterized. The transcript is spliced from 3 exons. The record is from RefSeq and is a predicted model, not a curated record. NCBI's taxonomy places the organism in Eukaryota, Viridiplantae, Streptophyta, Magnoliopsida, Solanales, Solanaceae.